This 253-nucleotide ribosomal RNA is filed under the name uncultured bacterium. RNAcentral describes it as "partial 16S ribosomal RNA". It matches the Rfam family "Bacterial small subunit ribosomal RNA", at positions 524 to 776 of the family's 1533-position model. The record is from RNAcentral.
UACAGAGGGUGCAAACGUUGCUCGGAAUUACUGGGCGUAAAGCGCGUGUAGGCUGACAUGCAAGUCGGGUGUGAAAUCCCAGGGCUCAACCUUGGAACUGCAUUCGAAACUGCACGUCUUGAGUACUGGAGAGGGAAGCGGAAUUCCGGGUGUAGAGGUGAAAUUCGUAGAUAUCCGGAGGAACACCAGUGGCGAAGGCGGCUUCCUGGACAGUAACUGACGCUGAGACGCGAAAGCGUGGGGAGCAAACAGG